This 340-nucleotide unclassified non-coding RNA is filed under the name soil metagenome. RNAcentral describes it as "partial contains 5.8S ribosomal RNA, internal transcribed spacer 2, and large subunit ribosomal RNA". The stretch from base 1 to 120 matches the Rfam family "5.8S ribosomal RNA", at positions 35 to 154 of the family's 154-position model. The record is from RNAcentral.
GAUGAAGAACGUAGCGAAAUGCGAUAAGUAGUGUGAAUUGCAGAAUUCAGUGAAUCAUCGAAUCUUUGAACGCACAUUGCGCCCCUUGGUAUUCCAUGGGGCAUGCCUGUUCGAGCGUCAUCUACACCCUCAAGCUCUGCUUGGUGUUGGGCGUCUGUCCCGCCUGCGGGUGGCGGACUCGCCCCGAAUGCAUUGGCAGCGUCCCUUGCCCCCUCUCGCGCAGCACAUUGCGCUUCUCGAGGGCGGCUCCGGGGCGCGACCCACCGAAGAUGACCACCGUCUUUGACCUCGGAUCAGGUAGGGAUACCCGCUGAACUUAAGCAUAUCAAUAAGCGGAGGA